UGCUUUGUACAGUGACAGUAUCAUAGCCAAUGAGGUUUAUCUGAGGCGCGAUUAUUGCUAAUUGAAAAUUUUUCCUUUUCCCACCUCCCUCCUUCUUUUCUCUAAAAGUAUAAAACUUGAUGUAAUUCCUAAUGUUUGAAAAGUA
Molecule: small nuclear RNA, 145 nt
Organism: Lontra canadensis (Northern American river otter)
Lineage: Eukaryota; Metazoa; Chordata; Mammalia; Carnivora; Mustelidae
Product: U4 spliceosomal RNA
Exons: 1
Source: RefSeq, a predicted model, not a curated record